UUUAAACACUUUUUAAAGUAUCAAUUGGAGGGCAAGUCUGGUGCCAGCAGCCGCGGUAAUUCCAGCUCCAAUAGCGUAUAUUAAAAUUGUUGCAGUUAAAAAGCUCGUAGUUGAAUUUCUGUUAAAAAUAACCGGUCUGCUUUUAUUAAAAGUGGUAUCUUGGUGUGUUUUUAGCAAUAAUGUCCUUGAAAUGUUUUUUACUUUAUUGUAAUAAGUCAUUAUUUUGAGGAUUUUUACUUUGAGAAAAUUAGAGUGUUUCUAGCAGGCUUACGCUUUUGAAUACUGCAGCAUGGAAUAAUAAGAUAGGAUUUUAGUUCUGCAUUAUUGGUUUUAAGAACUAAAUUAAUGAUUGAUAGGGAUAGUUGGGGGCAUUUGUAUUUAACUGUCAGAGGUGAAAUUCUUAGAUUUGUUAAAGACAAACUACUGCGAAAGCAUUUGCCAAAGAUGUUUUCAUUAAUC
RNAcentral lists this ribosomal RNA (459 nucleotides) under Hepatozoon sp. ex Marmota monax KEA-2011. Its description in RNAcentral is "bacterial SSU rRNA". It matches the Rfam family "Eukaryotic small subunit ribosomal RNA", at positions 524 to 978 of the family's 1831-position model. The record is from RNAcentral. Lineage: Eukaryota; Apicomplexa; Hepatozoidae.